AACGAACGCUGGCGGCAUGCCUAACACAUGCAAGUCGAACGAGACCUUCGGGUCUAGUGGCGCACGGGUGCGUAACGCGUGGGAACCUGCCCUUAGGUUCGGAAUAACUCCCCGAAAGGGGUGCUAAUACCGGAUAAUGUCUUCGGACCAAAGAUUUAUCGCCUUUGGAUGGGCCCGCGUUGGAUUAGCUAGUUGGUAGGGUAAAAGCCUACCAAGGCGACGAUCCAUAGCUGGUCUGAGAGGAUGAUCAGCCACACUGGGACUGAGACACGGCCCAGACUCUAACGGAGGGAAGCAUGGGGAAUAAUGGACAAUGGGCGAAAGCCUGAUCCAGCAAUGCCGCGUGAGUGAUGAAGGCCUUAGGGUUGUAAAGCUCUUUUACCCGGGAUGAUAAUGACAGUACCGGGAGAAUAAGCUCCGGCUAACUCCGUG
Molecule: ribosomal RNA, 432 nt
Filed under: uncultured bacterium
Lineage: Bacteria
Description: partial 16S ribosomal RNA
Rfam family: Bacterial small subunit ribosomal RNA
Source: RNAcentral